This 490-nucleotide ribosomal RNA is filed under the name uncultured bacterium. Its description in RNAcentral is "partial 16S ribosomal RNA". It matches the Rfam family "Bacterial small subunit ribosomal RNA", at positions 28 to 507 of the family's 1533-position model. The record is from RNAcentral.
GAUGAACGCUAGCGAUAGGCUUAACACAUGCAAGUCGAGGGGCAGCAUGGUCUUAGCUUGCUUAGACUGAUGGCGACCGGCGCACGGGUGCGUAACGCGUAUGCAACUUGCCUCACAGAGGGGGAUAACCCGUCGAAAGACGGACUACUACCGCGUACACUCCCUCUUUGGCAUCCAAGGUAGAGGCAAUGAAAUUCUCUGUUAUAUAGGCAUGCGUCCCAUUAGCUCGUUGGUGAGGUAACGGCUCACCAAGGCGACGAUGUGUAUGGGAACUGAGAGGUUGAACCCCCAGACCGGUACUGAGGCACGGACCAGACUGCUACGGGAGGCAGGAGUGAGGAAUAUUGGUCAAUGGGCGAGAGCCUGAACCAGCCAAGUCGCGUGAAGGAUGAUUGGCUUAGGGAUUGUAAGCUUCUUGGAUACGAGAAAAACAAGAGUAACGAGUGACUUCUUGAAUGUACCGUAUGAAUAAGCAACGGCUAACUCCGUG